Molecule: ribosomal RNA, 449 nt
Filed under: uncultured bacterium
Lineage: Bacteria
Description: bacterial SSU rRNA
Rfam family: Bacterial small subunit ribosomal RNA
Source: RNAcentral
GUGGGGAAUAUUGGACAAUGGGGGCAACCCUGAUCCAGCAAUGCCGCGUGUGUGAAGAAGGCCUUCGGGUUGUAAAGCACUUUCGAUGGGGAAAAACAAGCCAGACCUAACACGUCUGGCCCUGAUGGUACCCAGAGAAGAAGCACCGGCUAACUCUGUGCCAGCAGCCGCGGUAAUACAGAGGGUGCAAGCGUUAAUCGGAAUUACUGGGCGUAAAGGGUGCGUAGGUGGUUUGUUAAGUCAGGCGUGAAAUCCCUGGGCUCAACCUGGGAACUGCGUUUGAUACUGGCAGACUCGAGUCUGGUAGAGGGUAGUGGAAUUCCGCAUGUAGCGGUGAAAUGCGUAGAUAUGCGGAGGAACAUCAGUGGCGAAGGCGGCUACCUGGACCAAGACUGACACUGAGGCACGAAAGCGUGGGGAUCAAACAGGAUUAGAAACCCCUGUAGUCC